AUGAUCUGGGAGCUCCUAUUGGAUGCCCGCGUGCGUCCAAUAGUAGAGCCUUCGUUGAAGCCCGUGCAAACGGCCGGCCCAUUGGCAGCAUCGAACCUAGAAUUCACAAAAAACAAAGGGUGGCGCGUGAAGUCAAACUCCCAACCACUGGUAUUGGAGCACACUUGCUUACCACUCGGACUGCCAUGGCUUGCCGUCUCAGAUCCGUGCCAGCCAUCCAGCCCCUGCUCCGAUGAAACCAAUGUCGAAGACGAAGAACAGCUGCAGAUCCUGAAGGCCAACAUCUUGAGGAUCCUGAAAAUACAGCCUCCUGCAUUUGCCCAGCAGAUGUAUACUUUGUCAGGAAUCAGGAUUGGGUUCGCUUGCAUCUUCAGAGAAAUUAAGGUGAACCUGGUACAGUGGUACACCACCAGGACAUAUAAGGAUGUGAAAAUGUAUGGCUCCAGGACAUAUAAGGAUGUAAAAAUGUAUGGCUCCCUGCAGCCGGUGCGGCAGGUGUACGAGCGGCUCGUGUCCGUGUGCGGCAGCCCGGAGCAAGCCCAGAACGCGGUGGCGCUGCUGGUGUGGCUUGACCAAGGCACCAUCUCCGCCAUCCACCACGUCCUAGCCAUCGGCCCCGAUGCCAUCGCCGUCGUGGCAGAAGAGGCCAACGCCAUCCUCAAGUGCUUCCGCCACCAGGUGCCCGUGCUCCCGCCCAUCCCGCUCAUCUCUGCGCUCUGCAUGCAAGGCGGCGUCCACAUCGACCCGGGCUUCUUCGCCUUCCAUCAGGACAUCGUCGUCAGCGGCGUCGCCCAUUUCCUCGACGGUGCCAGCAAGUUCAUUUUCGAUGACCGCCUGCACCUCCUGCUCCGUAAGUCCGAGACUGGGCUGGUGGGCAACCCACCGAAGCUCCUGGCACCCUACACCCAUCCCAUGGCCGUGCCGGAGGACUGCCGUUCUAUGUUCAUCACCUUCUCCAAGGGCAUGCCCCCCACCGUGAGGAGAUCUUUGAGUACUUCAGAGAGUAAGUGUGCACUGAGAAUGAUUAAGAAGUGGGGUGACUGCGUGGUCGGGGUGCUCAUGGAGAAGACGAAGGGAGGCCUCUUGCCCAUGUACGGCCGGAUCAUCUUCAAGACGGAGGCGAUAGUGAAGCUGGUGCUCAAUGGCGAGAGGCCCGUCAAGAUCUCCAUUGGGCAUCGUCAGAUCUGGCUCCGCAAGUAUGUCCCCAGGCCAACCAAGGCCACUCCCUGA
Molecule: ribosomal RNA, 1230 nt
Filed under: Triticum aestivum (bread wheat)
Lineage: Eukaryota; Viridiplantae; Streptophyta; Magnoliopsida; Poales; Poaceae
Description: partial small subunit ribosomal RNA
Source: RNAcentral